RNAcentral lists this ribosomal RNA (509 nucleotides) under uncultured bacterium. Its description in RNAcentral is "bacterial SSU rRNA". It matches the Rfam family "Bacterial small subunit ribosomal RNA", at positions 28 to 528 of the family's 1533-position model. The record is from RNAcentral.
GACGAACGCUGGCGGCGUGGAUUAGGCAUGCAAGUCGAACGGUAUCAUCCUUUCGGGGGUGAGAGAGUGGCGAACUGGUGAGUAACACGUAGGUUAUCUACCCUCAAGACGGGGACAACCCAGGGAAACUUGGGCUAAUACCGGAUGUGAGCAACUUUUUAGUUGUUUGAAAGGUGGCGUAAGCUGUCGCUUGGGGAUGAGCCUGCGUCCUAUUAGUUAGUUGGUGAGGUAACGGCUCACCUAGGCAAUGAUAGGUAGGCGGCCUUAACGGGUGGUCGCCCACACUGGGAUUGAGAUACGGCCCAGACUCCUACGGGAGGCAGCAGUCGAGAAUAGUCUACAAUGGUCGGAAGACUGAUAGUGCGACGCCGCGUGAACGAUGAAUCCCUUCGGGGUGUAAAGUUCUUUUAUAUGUGAGCAGUGCUUCUUAUAUUAACAAUAUGGGGAGAGAGAUAUUAGCAUAUGAAUAAGAACGGCUAACUCCGUGCCAGCAGCCGCGGUAAACUCGU